Pelobates cultripes (western spadefoot toad) is the source of this 198-nucleotide non-coding RNA. Lineage: Eukaryota; Metazoa; Chordata; Amphibia; Anura; Pelobatidae. The record is from the annotation of a GenBank genome assembly.
GAGUGAGGGGGAGACACAGUGAGGGGGGGGUGACUGGUGACAGAGUGAGGGAGUGGGUGACUCCCUCUCUCUGUCACUAGUCACCCCUUCCCUCCCUCACUCUGUCACUAGUCACCCCAUCCCUCCCUCUGUCACUAGUCACCCCCUCACUAGUCACCUCAUCCCUCUCUUUGUCACUAGUCACUCCCUCCCUAACUC